RNAcentral lists this ribosomal RNA (423 nucleotides) under uncultured bacterium. RNAcentral's name for it is "bacterial SSU rRNA". It matches the Rfam family "Bacterial small subunit ribosomal RNA", at positions 355 to 774 of the family's 1533-position model. The record is from RNAcentral.
UGAGGAAUAUUGGUCAAUGGGCGCGAGCCUGAACCAGCCAAGUAGCGUGAAGGAUGAAGGUCCUAUGGAUUGUAAACUUCUUUUAUAGCAGAAUAAAGUGACCCACGUGUGGGUUUUUGUAUGUAUGCUAUGAAUAAGGAUCGGCUAACUCCGUGCCAGCAGCCGCGGUAAUACGGAGGAUCCGAGCGUUAUCCGGAUUUAUUGGGUUUAAAGGGUGCGUAGGCGGAAAGAUAAGUCAGCCUGUGAAAGUUUGCGGCUCAACCGUAAAAUUGCAGUUGAUACUGUUUUUCUUGAGUGUACAUAAGGUAGGCGGAAUUCGUGGUGUUGCUGUGAAAUGCUUAGAUAUCACGAAGAACUCCCAUUGCGAAGGCAGCUUACCGGGGUACAACUGACGCUGAUGCACGAAAGUGUGGGUAUCAAACA